RNAcentral lists this non-coding RNA (207 nucleotides) under uncultured Clostridium sp. Lineage: Bacteria; Bacillati; Bacillota; Clostridia; Eubacteriales; Clostridiaceae. The record is from RNAcentral.
AGAACUGUUAUUGCGAAGAGUAGAAUGAUAGAGUAACGUCUUGAAAUGCUCUCACAAAGUUACGAUUAGCAUAAGGUUGAGUGAACAAUCAUAUGUUAAAAGCUCGUUAUAACGGAUUUGGUGUUACCGUAAAUUAUGAAUGAACAUUCAUAAUACGAAAUGCGAACUAGAGGUAGUCGAGUAACAUAUGGUUCUAGUGUCCAUAAA